UGAAUACGAGAUGCUACGGCGUCGAAGCAGUGUAUGUCAGACUUCCAAGAAAAGCUCGCAAUGUCAUAAAUAAAGAAUGCCUGUACCAUAACCGACACAGGUGGGUAGGUAGAGUAUACUAAGGGGCGCGAGAUAACUCUCUCUAAGGAACUCGGCAAAAUAACUCCGUAACUUCGGGAGAAGGAGUGCCUUCUUUAAGAAGGUUGCAAUAACAAGAUCCAAGCAACUGUUUAUCAAAAACACAGGUCUCCGCUAAGUCGUAAGACGAUGUAUGGGGGCUGACGCCUGCCCAGUGCCAGAAGGUUAAAGAAGCUGGUUAGCAAUAGCGAAGCUGGUGACUGAAGCCCUGGUGAACGGCGGCCGUAACUAUAACGGUCCUAAGGUAGCGAAAUUCCUUGUCGGGUAAGUUCCGACCCGCACGAAAGGCGUAAUGAUUUGGAUACUGUCUCGGAGAGGGACUCGGUGAAAUAGACUUGUCUGUGAAGAUGCGGACUACCUGCACCAGGACAGAAAGACCCUAUGAAGCUUUACUGUAACCUGAAAUUGAAAUUGGACUUUAUUUGCGCAGUAUAGGUGGGAGGCGUUGAAAGUAAUCUUGCGGGAUUAGUGGAGCCAUCAGUGAGAUACCACUCCUAUAAUGUUAGAUUUCUAACUUUGGAUCAUGAUCUGGUCAAAGAACAGUUUCAGGCGGGCAGUUUGACUGGGGCGGUCGCCUCCCAAAUGGUAACGGAGGCGUACAAAGGUUUCCUCUGAACGAGUAGAAAUCGUAUCUAGAGUGUAAAGGCAUAAGGAAGCUUGACUGUGAGACCUACAAGUCGAGCAGGGACGAAAGUCGGUCUUAGUGAUCUGACGGUGCUGAGUGGAAAGGCCGUCACUCAACGGAUAAAAGUUACUCUAAGGAUAACAGGCUGAUCUCCCCCAAGAGUUCACAUCGACGGGGAGGUUUGGCACCUCGAUGUCGGCUCAUCGCAUCCUGGGGCGGUAGUACGUCCCAAGGGUUGGGCUGUUCGCCCAUGAAAGCGGUACGCGAGCUGGGUUCAGAACGUCGUGAGACAGUUCGGUCCAUAUCCGGUGUAGGCGUUAGAAUAUUGAGAGGAGCCUUCUCUAGUACGAGAGGACCGAGAAGGACAUACCUCUGGUGUACCAGUUAUCGUGCCAACGGUAAACGCUGGGUAGCUAUGUAUGGAGAGGAUAACCGCUGAAAGCAUCUAAGUGGGAAGCCCACCUCAAGAUGAGUAUUCUCAUC
RNAcentral lists this ribosomal RNA (1246 nucleotides) under metagenome. Its description in RNAcentral is "bacterial LSU rRNA". It matches the Rfam family "Bacterial large subunit ribosomal RNA", at positions 1564 to 2818 of the family's 2925-position model. The record is from RNAcentral.